RNAcentral lists this ribosomal RNA (800 nucleotides) under uncultured Bacillota bacterium. RNAcentral's name for it is "bacterial SSU rRNA". It matches the Rfam family "Bacterial small subunit ribosomal RNA", at positions 71 to 902 of the family's 1533-position model. Lineage: Bacteria; Bacillati; Bacillota. The record is from RNAcentral.
AAAGUGGAGCAAUCCAUGAGUAAAGUGGCGACCGGGUGAGUAACACGUGACUAACCUACCUCCGAGUGGGGAAUAACUCCGGGAAACCGGGGCUAAUACCGCAUAACAUCGCAAGAUCAAAGCCGAAAGGCGCUUGGAGAGGGGGUCGCGGCUGAUUAGCUAGUUGGUAGGGUAAUGGCCUACCAAGGCGAAGAUCGGUAUCCGGCCUGAGAGGGCGCACGGACACACUGGAACUGAAACACGGUCCAGACUCCUACGGGAGGCAGCAGUGGGGAAUUUUGCGCAAUGGGGGAAACCCUGACGCAGCAACGCCGCGUGGAGGAUGAAGCCCCUUGGGGCGUAAACUCCUUUCGACCAAGACGAUAAUGACGGUACUGGUGGAAGAAGCACCGGCUAACUCUGUGCCAGCAGCCGCGGUAAUACAGAGGGUGCGAGCGUUGUUCGGAAUUAUUGGGCGUAAAGGGCGCGUAGGCGGUGCCACAAGUCACCUGUGAAAUCUCCGGGCUUAACUCGGAGCCUGCAGGCGAAACUGUGGUGCUGGAGUGUGGGAGAGGUGCGUGGAAUUCCCGGUGUAGCGGUGAAAUGCGUANAUAUCGGGAGGAACACCUGUGGCGAAAGCGGCGCACUGGACCAUAACUGACGCUGAGGCGCGAAAGCUAGGGGAGCAAACAGGAUUAGAUACCCUGGUAGUCCUAGCCCUAAACGAUGAUUGCUUGGUGUAGCAGGUACCCAAUCCUGCUGUGCCGCAGCUAACGCGAUAAGCAAUCCGCCUGGGGAGUACGGUCGCAAGGCUGAAACUC